This 268-nucleotide ribosomal RNA is filed under the name uncultured bacterium. Its description in RNAcentral is "partial 16S ribosomal RNA". It matches the Rfam family "Bacterial small subunit ribosomal RNA", at positions 793 to 1055 of the family's 1533-position model. The record is from RNAcentral.
GUCCACGCCGUAAACGAUGUGCACUAGGUGUUGGAGGUACUUAAUCCUCCAGUGCCGCAGCUAACGCAUUAAGUGCACCGCCUGGUGAUUACGGCCGCAAGGCUAAAACUCAAAGGAAUUGACGGGGGCCCGCACAAGCGGUGGAGUAUGUGGUUUAAUUCGACGCAACGCGAAAACCUUACCUGGGCUUGACAUGCUGGGAUUAGUCCCGAGAAAUCGGGACGAUUGCCUUCGGGUGUAACCAGCACAGGUGCUGCAUGGCUGUCGU